Molecule: ribosomal RNA, 253 nt
Filed under: uncultured bacterium
Lineage: Bacteria
Description: partial 16S ribosomal RNA
Rfam family: Bacterial small subunit ribosomal RNA
Source: RNAcentral
UACGAAGGUCCCAAGCGUUAUCCGGAUUUAUUGGGUUUAAAGGGUGCGUAGGCGGGUUAUUAAGUCAGUGGUGAAAGCCUUCAGCUUAACUGAAGAACUGCCAUUGAUACUGAUGAUCUUGAGUAUGAUUGAGGUUGGCGGAAUGUGUCAUGUAGCGGUGAAAUGCUUAGAUAUGACAUAGAACACCGAUAGCGAAGGCAGCUUGCUACACAAUUAUUGACACUGAGGCUCGAAAGCGUGGGGAUCAAACAGG